CCAAGGCUAAAUACUCCUGACUGACCGAUAGUGAACCAGUACCGUGAGGGAAAGGCGAAAAGAACCCCGGCGAGGGGAGUGAAAAAGAACCUGAAACCGUGUACGUACAAGCAGUGGGAGCACCCUUUGGGGUGUGACUGCGUACCUUUUGUAUAAUGGGUCAGCGACUUAUAUUCUGUAGCAAGGUUAACCGUAUAGGGGAGCCGGAGGGAAACCGAGUCUUAAUUGGGCGUUAAGUUGCAGGGUAUAGACCCGAAACC
RNAcentral lists this ribosomal RNA (260 nucleotides) under Salmonella enterica subsp. enterica serovar Typhimurium. RNAcentral's name for it is "partial 23S ribosomal RNA". It matches the Rfam family "Bacterial large subunit ribosomal RNA", at positions 460 to 722 of the family's 2925-position model. Lineage: Bacteria; Pseudomonadati; Pseudomonadota; Gammaproteobacteria; Enterobacterales; Enterobacteriaceae. RNAcentral also lists the same sequence under 1 other name. The record is from RNAcentral.